This 496-nucleotide ribosomal RNA is filed under the name uncultured bacterium. RNAcentral describes it as "partial 16S ribosomal RNA". It matches the Rfam family "Bacterial small subunit ribosomal RNA", at positions 29 to 507 of the family's 1533-position model. The record is from RNAcentral.
AUGAACGCUGGCGGCGUGCCUAAUACAUGCAAGUCGAGCGAACGGACGAGAAGCUUGCUUCUCUGAUGUUAGCGGCGGACGGGUGAGUAACACGUGGAUAACCUACCUAUAAGACUGGGAUAACUUCGGGAAACCGGAGCUAAUACCGGAUGAUAUUUUGAACCGCAUGGUUCAAAAGUGAAAGACGGUCUUGCUGUCACUUAUAGAUGGAUCCGCGCUGCAUUAGCUAGUUGGUAAGGUAACGGCUUACCAAGGCAACGAUGCAUAGCCGACCUGAGAGGGUGAUCGGCCACACUGGAACUGAGACACGGUCCAGACUCCUACGGGAGGCAGCAGUAGGGAAUCUUCCGCAAUUGGCGAAAGCCUGACGGAGCAACGCCGCGUGAGUGAUGAAGGUCUUCGGAUCGUAAAACUCUGUUAUUAGGGAAGAACAUAUGUGUAAGUAACUGUGCACAUCUUGACGGUACCUAAUCAGAAAGCCACGGCUAACUACGUG